Manis pentadactyla (Chinese pangolin) is the source of this 6389-nucleotide long non-coding RNA. RefSeq lists it as uncharacterized. The transcript has 8 exons. The record is from RefSeq and is a predicted model, not a curated record. NCBI's taxonomy places the organism in Eukaryota, Metazoa, Chordata, Mammalia, Pholidota, Manidae.
AGGUGGACCAAGAACUGGGGUUAUAUGAAAGAGUUUAUUCCCUCUUCUUGAGCAAUGAAGGUACAUUUCAGGAAUAAUUCUGCCAAUACAUUUGAAAGGGCCAGUGGUAAUUCUCACAUAGAUACAGGAUGAUACACUGCUCCAGUGAGUGGCUGAUUUUGUCACUUGUACCAGCUUCCUUCUAUGGGAAUGACCAGAAUAAUGAACUCUAGAGAUGGACAUGGAGCACUGGCUGGGUUUCAUAUGAAAGAGUUCAUACCUUCUUCUUGACAUGAAAGAAACUACUGAAAAUAUUCCUGCUAUUUCAUCCUCAAAAGCCAGUAGGAAUUUUGCAUCAGUUGGAAAUAAUACUGUAAUUGCAUGAAAUUCUUACCACCUCACCAAAGAAGAGCUAAUUUUGUUGUUUUAUCAGCUCCCUUAUCUGAGAAGCAACACAAUACUGGACUCUCAAGGUUGAUGUGGACCAGAAACUGUGUUUCAUUUGAAAGAGUUUAUUCCUUCCCCUUGAGAUGUGACUUGAAGGAAAGUAUUGGGAAUAAUUCUGCCUCCCAUUUUCAAGGGCCUGUGUGAAUUCUCACAAAGGUGUUGAUAGAGCCUAGAAGGGCCCUGUGCCUUUGCCUUAUCUCUUGGAUGCUGUCUCCACAGAAUGAGCUCACAACUUCUCAGUCAGUGGUUUUCCAUCUCUACCUGUGGUCUUUGGACACCCUUUUAGAAGAUGACUUCUUGGGAACUCUUUGGAGUAAAUGAUACCAAUACAUCACUGAAACAAAACUUUCCAAACAAAAAGCCUGUUAUCCAAGGGGCAUCUUCUGAAGGUGAUGAUUGCAAAGGCGAGGUGGAUUUGGUGCUGUGGCUGCCAUCACUUCUACUGCAGGCUUCAGCAAAACAAUGAUACAGUCUUCCUCAUGCAUGGCGACUCCUCUCUGUCCUGUGUUGCAGUGGACACCUCCUGCAGAUAAGAAAUGCUUAACUGAGAAAUGCUCAUGUCGGGAUAUCAUCGAUGAGACUUUAAUUUGGGCAUGGCGGCUGUUUCCCUUGCUGCCACCUGACUCAAUCCCAGGAGCCUCAGUAGAGGAAAUAUUAUUGCACAAGAAACUCAAAAUGAUGGAAUUGCUUAGUGAUCCCAUAACUAUACAUUUAUAAUUUUCAUUUGCCAUGUGGUAAAUUUUUUAAAUAGGGUAUAUUAAAAAGAAACUGAGUAAAUUUUUAUAAAAAUUCAAAGCAUAUCUAAAUAUCUAAUAUAUAAUUAAGUACUUUCGUUAGUCGCAGUCUGUUCCCCAGUUUUCUUCUGUUAAGGGAGUUGUGUGCAUUUUUUAAGUGGAUAGAUAUGCACACACACACACACACACACACGUACUUAAAAGCUAUAUUGUGGGGUUCUGGAAGUGGGGCCCUAUUGUACACAUUUUUCUGAAAAUUGCCUUUCCUUUAACAGUUUUUUCAAUGCCAUUUUUCUAUUUCAGUAAUGCACUUCUGUGUCAUUUGUUGAAUGACUGCAUGACUAUUUUAUAGAUGAAAUAUAAUUGUUUUAAGCAUUUCUCAUUCGUAGAUAUUUAUGUUAGCACCAAAUUUCUGUGCAGUGAGCCUCCCUAUAUAUCACUAAUUUUGCAUAUGUCUAUUAUACCAUAAUACUUAGCAGUUGAAAUACUGGGAUUAAGGAUAUGCACAUUUCAAAUUUUGAAAAUUAUUACAAGAUUUCCUUAAAAAUGUGGUAAGAAUUUUUUCCUCAUAUGGCAAUGAACGAGAUCGCCAGCUUUCCCACACCUCACAGAUAAUGGAUUUUAUAAAUACUUAAAAUCUUUGCCAGUGUGAUAGCCCAAACUAUUGUCUUAAAUUGUAUUUCUUUUGUUUUGAGUUUGAUCAUUUUUUCAUGUUUACUGGCCAUCUGUACUUUUAAUUUCCUCUUUAUGUCCAAUUUUGAGGGUGGAGGGAAGUCUUAGUCUCUUCAUGAUUUUGAAGAGCUCAUUUAUUAUUGGGAGAAUAAGCUUUGGAUUGUCAAGUAUUACAGAUAUUUUUUACACAGUUUUAAACAUCAUUUUUGUUAUAAGAAUGUGUAUGAUUGUUAUAUGUCCAAGUUAACCAUGUUUGCUUCUAUGGCUUCUGAGUUUCAUGUCAUUUUGGAAAGAUAUUUAUAUUGAUUCCAUAAAACCCUUCACCUAUGUUAACUUCUAAUUCUUUUGUGUUUUUUUAAAUUCAAAUUAGUUAAUCAUGAGAAAUUUUUUUUAUUUGAAAUCUUAAAGUUGCCAAGUUAUUUGCCAUUACCUGCGAUUAUUUGCCAAUAAUUGCCCAUUUAUCUGUAAUGCCACACCUUUGCACAUAUGCUGUAUUCUCAUCUGUGACUGGCUCCAUUUUUGUUCUGUGGAUCUGUGUCUCUUCUGCCUCCUGUCUCAUGUGUCUUCUCAUUGGUGGAAAUUACAGUUUAGACUGCAAUUUCAUCAACUUUAAUAAAUAAUAUAGGGGAGAAUUGGCUUUUAAAAAUAUAAAUCUUCCUACACAAGGACAAGGUAUGUCUUUUCUUAUCUUUUAUUUAGUAACUUUAACUACUGUUAAUAUGUUAACUUUGUGGUGGGGUAUUUUCUUUCAAUUUAUUUUCUUCCUUGAUAAUUUUUAUGUAUCUGAAAGUUUGUUUUGUUUUUAUGGGUUAGUGGUCAACUUACUCUUUCCCAUUACUUCAGAUUUUUCAAAGUAUCUACUAAAUCCUUUGUAAAUACUGAUAGUUUUGAUUCUUUCCUUCCAAAUGAUCUGGGUUUAGUUAUAUUGAUAAAGUUUACUGACUGGUACUUUCACAGCACUUAAAAUUACCCACCCUUGACUUAAUCAGGUUUUGCUGGAAUGGUUGGAUUUGACCAGCACAUUGUUGCUUGUCUAGUAUCCAAAAGACUCCCAGAAAGAGCAAUAAUCAAGCAAAGCUGAGUUUAUAAACCUACUCCAGCAAUGGAAAACACCACUUUGACAAGGGUUAGUAGUGUUUUAAAACUAGGAAAUUAGAGCUUUGGAUCUGGGAUGAUAUGGUUUAAGGUGGGCUUUUCAAGUCAGAGAAUGGGCAAAAUUUGCCAUGCAUAGUUUAAAUGAAAACGGAAUGUGAGGCUAGAUAGGCUAGAUAAAAGUUUUUGUCUUAAAUUAGAUGUUUGCCAAUGUGUGUAAGAUGUUAUCAAUGACAGAAGAGUGAUUUGCUUAGAUGAGCAAACUGUGAAUUUAUUUAUUUGUUUACAGUUCUAUCUUGUUUAUAGGACUCUGCUGGGGGUAGUAUCAGAUCUUAGUCCUAAUAGGUAAGUUAUUUUGAUAGAGGUUGUCUCAAUCAUCAAUAUAAGAUGCUAAUUGUAAAUUUGAGAUAUUUUUGAGUAUCAUGUUAGAAAGUCUCCUAUGUUUUAUAUAUUUCUAAGGAAUUUUAAUCAAAACCAGGUGGUAGAUAUAAUCAAGUGCUUUUUGCAUAAGCUGUAUUAAUUUUUAAUUAAACUUUUAUCAGUGUGAAAUAAUUUAUUUUCUACUACUGCACUUUUGUUUUAUUCCUUGAAUGAGAAAACACUAUUUGGUGAUGAAAAAAAUGUUUUACUCUUUAAUUUGAUUUGGAAUUUUUACAAGUACACUGUUAAAUUAAUCUGCAAUUUUCUCAUUUUGUCAUGCUUUAAUAUUAGAUUUUCUGAUUGUGUUAAAUAGUUCUGAGUGUUCUAGAAUGUCUUGAAAAGCUCUAGUGUUAACAGUCAAGUAUACGCAUCAGUUCAGUCUCUGAGCUCGCCUUUGUUUUUGGUGGUUUUGAGUAGAAAUGAGACUAUCUAGAAAAAUCUUCUCAUUUAUUUCUAUGGUUAUUGUUUGUUUCUUAUUUUAUAUCAUAUUUAAUUUGUUCUCCUGGAAAAUCACAACCCAAGCAAAUUUUCAAACACAGUAUCAUGAGGCUAUGCAACAUGUUCUUUCAUUUCUCUUUUAAGUUCUUGUUUCAAUUGAUAUCCAUGUUCGUUCCAGUUUGGUUAUUUUUGCUAUGCCUAUUUUAGUGAAAUAAGAAUGACUCAUGAAUGUUUAGCAUCACCAGUUCCCUCUCCCACCUCCCCCAAACAGCUCUUUGGUGUAAUUUGUCUGUAUGUGUGUGUGUGUGAUGUUCAGAUUUAUGUAUGUUUUUUCCUGUAUUCCUUUAAUGAUUUUUAAAAAUAAAUUCUUAGAUAUGUUAUCCACUUAUUUUCACUUGUUAUUAGUAAUGAAAGAUUUGCUCCGUUGUGAAUUUUAUAACACUUUUCGUUAUGAAUACAGUGGAAACAUUCAGAGUAUAAGGAGAAAAGAACAGUCAGCUUGCAGAUACUAGGAAGCCAAGUUCCACCAUUAUCAGCAUUUUGCCAUAUUCACCUCAUGUUUUCUUAAAGUAUUUUCAAAUAAAGUUAGGGAAAUCCUAACACUUCUUUCCCCCAGAUGCCUUUAUAAAAUUUUAUUUUUAAGUCAUAGUAUACAUUAUAAAAUUCAGAAUUUCCAAAAGGAUAUUCAGUGAAAAAUAAUUCAUUUCUCAAUUAUGUCCUCUAUAACCACCAUUGCAAUUUCUUCUUCCUGAAGACAAUUCGUGUUAUAGAUUCUUGUUUUCCUUUCAGACAUAUACACAUAAACACACAUACACAUCCCAAAAUGUCUAUGUAUAGAUAGAUACAUACAUACACACACUUUUAUAAUGUUCUGUAACUUCUUUUAUAUAUUUAUAUAAUGUAUAAAUAUUUUAAUAUUUCUAGCAAAUCAUUUCAUAUCAGCAUAUGAGGUGUUUCAUUACUAUCUUUAAUACUUACAUUUGUGCACAGAUAAUGCAUGGACUUUAGUUGUUUAAUUCAAUAAGUUUUCUUAAAAGUAUAUAACCAUGUAACCCAUGUAACUAUAACAUAUUCAGGAAAUGGAAUCUUUUUAUUAUUUAAGAACCUUCACUACUUCCUCCUUCCAUCCAAGCCUAAUUCUCAUAGGAAACAGUGUCCUGAUUUCUAUCAGCAUUUGCCUGUUUUUGAAAUUAAUCUAACUAGAUUCACAUAGUAUAUGUCUGGCUUCUUCCAUUCAUCAUAAUGAUAUUGAGAUUCAUCCAUGUCACUUCCUAUAUUAGUAGGUUCAAAUUUUUUUUAAGUUGCAGAGUAACAUUCCGUUGAAUGGCAUAUUACAGUUAAUCCAUUUGCCUGUUAAUGGACAUCUGGGUUGCUUCUAGUUCUUAGUUAUUUUAAAUGUGCUAGCAGAUCUUUUAUGUGAUUACAUAAAAAUGGAAUUUGCUUCAUCAUAAGAUGGACUUUGCUUAACUUUAUAAGAAACUGCCAAAGAGUCUUACAGAGGUGGAGACUUUUUACCGCUUCAGCCAAUGAUAUUUUCUUGUCCUACACAUCAUUAUCAACAUUGAAAGUUGUUAUUUUUUUAAAUCUGACUUGUUUGGGUGUGAAGUGGUAUCUUCUUGUGACUUCAAUUUAUAAGUUGUUUACUUGAGAAGCUAAACAGUGUUUCAUGAGGUUAGCUGCCAGCUAUAAACCUUCUUUAGUAAAAUUUCUGUUUAAUUUUUCUCAACAUUUUAUAUUUUAUUUUGAAGUAAUUUUAGACUUACAGGAAAAUUUCAAAAACAGUACAGAGAUUUCCUAUAUAUUCUUUACUCUGUUUUAAUAUUAACAUCUUCUAUACUAUUAUUAUAACAUUAAUACACAGAAAAAUUUUUGAAAACUGGGAACUAUUAUCGAUAUAAUACUAUUAACUAGUCUGAAGAUUUGAAUUUUGCCAAUUGUCCCACUAAUAUCCUUUUUCUAUUCAGGUCCACCUUUUUUCUAGUUCAGUCCAAUGUAAGAUCCCAUAUUAGAUUUAGUUGUAAUAGUUUCUUAUCUCUAUAUCCAGCCCCUGUUCUUGGAGUGUUCUUCUGUCAUUCUUUGUAUUUCACAACCUUUUGGGCACUUUUGAAGAUUGCUAGAAUAAUUUUGUAUGAUAGACCUUAAUUUGGAUUUAUCUGCUAUUUUCUUGUGAUGAGAUUGGGUUAUGCACUUUUAGUAAAAAUAACACAGUGAUAAUUGUGUGUGCUUUUCAGUGGAUCAUUCAGGAGUGCAUGAUGUCUUAUUUUUACUAUAUUAGAUAUGACCAUAUGGUUAAGGUGGUGUAUGUUAGGUUUCUCCACUGCAAAGUUACUAUUUUUCUCUUUGUAAUUAAUAAAUAUUUUGUGAAGAAGAAGUACUUUGAGGCAUUCAAAUAUUUUAUCUCACUGAAUUCAUUCACUCAUUAAUUUUAGCACCCACUGAUGACUCUUGCCUGCAGUAAUUAUUAUUAUGGUGUUUGCCAAAUGCUGACUUCCUGUUUUCAUGAUACUUUCUACACUUAUUCACUAGAUCUUGACUGCAAGGAAGAACUGUCCUUUCCCCCAUUUAUUUAUGUGUUUGGUUGUGUAUCAGUAUGGAUGUAUACUAUUU